Molecule: ribosomal RNA, 256 nt
Filed under: uncultured bacterium
Lineage: Bacteria
Description: partial 16S ribosomal RNA
Rfam family: Bacterial small subunit ribosomal RNA
Source: RNAcentral
UAAUACGGAGGGUGCAAGCGUUGUUCGGAAUUAUUGGGCGUAAAGGGCGCGUAGGCGGUAAUGUAAGUCAGAUGUGAAAUACUCCGGCUCAACCAGAGAACAGCAUCUGAAACUGCAUAACUAGAGUACAGAAGAGGGAAACGGAAUUCCCGGUGUAGAGGUGAAAUUCGUAGAUAUCGGGAGGAACACCAGUGGCGAAGGCGGUUUCCUGGUCUGAUACUGACGCUGAGGCGCGAAAGCGUGGGGAGCAAACAGG